RNAcentral lists this ribosomal RNA (495 nucleotides) under uncultured bacterium. Its description in RNAcentral is "partial 16S ribosomal RNA". It matches the Rfam family "Bacterial small subunit ribosomal RNA", at positions 28 to 507 of the family's 1533-position model. The record is from RNAcentral.
GACGAACGCUGGCGGCGUGCCUAAUACAUGCAAGUAGAACGCUGAAGGAGGAGCUUGCUUCUCUGGAUGAGUUGCGAACGGGUGAGUAACGCGUAGGUAACCUGCCUGGUAGCGGGGGAUAACUAUUGGAAACGAUAGCUAAUACCGCAUAAGAGUAGAUGUUGCAUGACAUUUGCUUAAAAGUUGCAAUUGCAUCACUACCAGAUGGACCUGCGUUGUAUUAGCUAGUUGGUGGGGUAACGGCUUACCAAGGCGACGAUACAUAGCCGACCGGAGAGGGGGAUCGGCCACACUGGGACUGAGACACGGCCCAGACUCCUACAGGAGGCAGCAGUAGGGAAUCUUCGGCAAUGGACGGAAGUCUGACCGAGCAACGCCGCGGGAGUGAAGAAGGUUGUCGGAUCGUAAAGCUCUGUUGUAAGAGAAGAACGAGUGUGAGAGUGGAAAGUUCACACUGUGACGGUAACUGACCAGAAAGGGACGGCUAACUACGUG